GAUGAACGCUGGUGGCGUGCCUAACACAUGCAAGUCGAGCGAUUCUCUUCGGAGAAGAGCGGCGGACGGGUGAGUAACGCGUGGGUAACCUGCCCUGUACACACGGAUAACAUACCGAAAGGUAUGCUAAUACGAGAUAACAUGCUUUUAUCGCAUGGUAGAAGUAUCAAAGCUUUUGCGGUACAGGAUGGACACGCGUCUGAUUAGCUAGUUGGUGAGGUAACGGCUCACCAAGGCGACGAUCAGUAGCCGACCUGAGAGGGUGAUCGGCCACAUUGGAACUGAGACACGGUCCAAACUCCUACGGGAGGCAGCAGUGGGGAAUAUUGCACAAUGGGCGAAAGCCUGAUGCAGCAACGCCGCGUGAGCGAUGAAGGCCUUCGGGUCGUAAAGCUCUGUCCUCAAGGAAGAUAAUGACGGUACUUGAGGAGGAAGCCCCGGCUAACUACGUG
RNAcentral lists this ribosomal RNA (452 nucleotides) under uncultured bacterium. Its description in RNAcentral is "partial 16S ribosomal RNA". It matches the Rfam family "Bacterial small subunit ribosomal RNA", at positions 28 to 507 of the family's 1533-position model. The record is from RNAcentral.